CUUGCUUCUCUUGAGAGCGGCGGACGGGUGAGUAAUGCCUAGGAAUCUGCCUGGUAGUGGGGGAUAACGUCCGGAAACGGACGCUAAUACCGCAUACGUCCUACGGGAGAAAGCAGGGGACCUUCGGGCCUUGCGCUAUCAGAUGAGCCUAGGUCGGAUUAGCUAGUUGGUGGGGUAAUGGCUCACCAAGGCGACGAUCCGUAACUGGUCUGAGAGGAUGAUCAGUCACACUGGAACUGAGACACGGUCCAGACUCCUACGGGAGGCAGCAGUGGGGAAUAUUGGACAAUGGGCGAAAGCCUGAUCCAGCCAUGCCGCGUGUGUGAAGAAGGUCUUCGGAUUGUAAAGCACUUUAAGUUGGGAGGAAGGGCAGUAAAUUAAUACUUUGCUGUUUUGACGUUACCGACAGAAUAAGCACCGGCUAACUCUGUGCCAGCAGCCGCGGUAAUACAGAGGGUGCAAGCGUUAAUCGGAAUUACUGGGCGUAAAGCGCGCGUAGGUGGUUCGUUAAGUUGGGAUGUGAAAUCCCCGGGCUCAACCUGGGAACUGCAUUUC
Molecule: ribosomal RNA, 555 nt
Filed under: uncultured bacterium
Lineage: Bacteria
Description: bacterial SSU rRNA
Rfam family: Bacterial small subunit ribosomal RNA
Source: RNAcentral